UACGUAGGGGCCUAGCGUUGUCCGGAUUUAUUGGGCGUAAAGAGCGUGUAGGCGGUCCGGUAAGUCAGCUGUGAAAGUCAAGGGCUCAACCCUUGAAUGCCGGUUGAUACUGUCGGGCUAGAGUCCGGAAGAGGCGAGUGGAAUUCCCGGUGUAGCGGUGAAAUGCGCAGAUAUCGGGAGGAACACCAAUGGCGAAGGCAGCUCGCUGGGACGGUACUGACGCUGAGACGCGAAAGCGUGGGGAGCAAACAGG
This 253-nucleotide ribosomal RNA is filed under the name uncultured bacterium. Its description in RNAcentral is "partial 16S ribosomal RNA". It matches the Rfam family "Bacterial small subunit ribosomal RNA", at positions 524 to 776 of the family's 1533-position model. The record is from RNAcentral.